UAACAUAGCCCCACAAAAAAUAGUUAA
RNAcentral lists this small RNA (27 nucleotides) under Bombyx mori (domestic silkworm). RNAcentral describes it as "ovarian small RNA-18641". The record is from RNAcentral. Lineage: Eukaryota; Metazoa; Arthropoda; Insecta; Lepidoptera; Bombycidae.